CUGAAUUGUCGACACGAGUUGUUGCUGGUCCUCAAAUGGGGGCAUGUGCACGCUCUGUUUACACAUCCACUCACACCUGUGCACCCUCUGUAGUUCUGUGGCCUGGGGGGCUCUGCCACCCUCGCUGUGGUCUACAUCUUUACACACACACUGUAAUAAAGUCUCAUGGAAUGUACGUCGCGUUUAACGCAAUACAAUA
This 199-nucleotide unclassified non-coding RNA is filed under the name uncultured Tomentella. Its description in RNAcentral is "sequence contains ITS1". The record is from RNAcentral. Lineage: Eukaryota; Fungi; Basidiomycota; Agaricomycetes; Thelephorales; Thelephoraceae.